RNAcentral lists this ribosomal RNA (384 nucleotides) under uncultured prokaryote. RNAcentral's name for it is "bacterial SSU rRNA". It matches the Rfam family "Archaeal small subunit ribosomal RNA", at positions 341 to 725 of the family's 1478-position model. The record is from RNAcentral.
GCGAAAACUUUACAAUGCUGGCAACAGCGAUAAGGGAACCUCGAGUGCCAGGUUACAAAUCUGGCUGUCGAGAUGCCUAAAAAGCAUUUCAUAGCAAGGGCCGGGCAAGACCGGUGCCAGCCGCCGCGGUAACACCGGCGGCUCGAGUGGUAACCGUUAUUAUUGGGUCUAAGGGGUCUGUAGCCGCCCGGAUAAGUCUCUUGAGAAAUCUGGCAGCUUAACUGUCAGGCUUUCAGGAGAUACUGUCUGGCUCGAGGCCGGGAGAGGUGAGAGGUACUUCAGGGGUAGGGGUGAGAUCUUGUAAUCCUUGAAGGACCACCAGUGGCGAAGGCGUCUCACCAGAACGGACCUGACGGCAAGGGACGAAAGCUAGGGGCACGAACC